GCCCAAAUUCGCACGUGCCCGUGGUCGUCCAUGAAUUCCAGUGGCAGUCAGACAAGCCCCACCACGACUCUUGGGGUCUGACAAAACCGGACGGCUUAAAGCAACGACGUAAGAGGGCUUUU
This 122-nucleotide small RNA is filed under the name Pannonibacter phragmitetus. RNAcentral describes it as "Alphaproteobacterial sRNA ar45". It matches the Rfam family "Alphaproteobacterial sRNA ar45". The record is from Rfam by way of RNAcentral. Lineage: Bacteria; Pseudomonadati; Pseudomonadota; Alphaproteobacteria; Hyphomicrobiales; Stappiaceae.